RNAcentral lists this long non-coding RNA (3192 nucleotides) under Sus scrofa (pig). RNAcentral's name for it is "lncRNA (ENSSSCG00040015961.1)". Lineage: Eukaryota; Metazoa; Chordata; Mammalia; Artiodactyla; Suidae. The record is from RNAcentral.
GCCAUUUCUUGGGCCGCUCCUUCGGCAUAUGGAGGUUCCCAGGCUAGGGGUCUAAUCGGAGCUGAAGCCGCUGGCCUACACCAGGGCCACAGCAACGCAGGAUCCAAGCUGCGUCUGUGACCUACACCACAGCUCACGGCAAUGCUGGAUCCUUAACCCACUGAGCAAGGCCAGGGAUCAAACCCACAACCUCACGGUUCCUAGUCGGAUUCGUUAACCACUGAGCCAUGACGGGAACUCUGCUGUGGUAGAUUCUUAAUCCACUGCACCACAGUGGGAAAUCUGACUACAUUGGUUCUGGUCACUGUGGAGACAUGGGUUCGAUUCCUGACCCUGCACAGUAGGUUACAAGAUUUGGUGUUGCCACAACUGUGGCACAGUUCACAUCUUACAAUCUUUAAAUUUCACAGUUAUGACCUUCAGAUCAUGUAUGAGGUAAGACUGAGAGAUAAGGAUAUCAGAAUUCAUUCCCAAAGGAGUGAAAGAGCUGAAAAUCAAAUGGAAUGAGAAUCCCAGGAAGCAGUCCAUAAUAAUAAGGGAAAAGAGAUUUAUUUCCGUCAUUUUUGACUAAGGGAUUUUUUUGGAAAAACGUUUUUGGAUUGUGGGUGCUAAAUAAAAUGUUUAAAUUGAAGUUUGUGUGGUUUUUAUUUAUACCCUGCAUGGUUUCAAAGAGAAUUUAAUUUAGCAUAUGGGCUUAGAGAAAAUAUAACAAAAUACUAUGAAUUACAUGUAGAAAAAAUAUAGAGAUAAAAUAGCAACAAGUAUGGAGCUGAUUUUUAAACAUGAAUUUGUAUAGUGAUCAGGCCUUUAUUCACUCAGGGCAAUUUUUUUUUUUUAAUUUUGGAGCACUAAAGAAUUUAAUGUGUUAAGUAUAAUUUUUCAUAACUUACACAAUGUCUUCAUAUACAUUAUCUCAUUUGAUCCUAAACUGACUUUGUGAGGCAGUUAUUCCCUACAUUUUCAGACAAGGGAACCGAGGCUCAUGGAGGGACUUGAAAAUCCAGUCCUUGCUCUUUUCAAAACUGCUGAUCAUUACAAUUCCUGUGCACUAAGUAAUGCCUUUCAGUUCUGUGUAAGAACAAUAUACACUUGACUCCUGUGGCCCUGAUCUGCUUUACAGGUGCUUUCAAUCUGGAGGUGGAAAGGCUUAAAAUUAAAGGACUUUAGAUCUGGGACAGACCCUUCUGGUAACACUUAACUCCUUGGCUUUACAUGAGUGCAUCUCAGCUCUAAGAGGCCAAACAUUUGUCACAAUGAUCCAAUCAGUUUGUGGUAAGACCAAGGUCAAAAGCAGAUUUCCUAAAUUCUUUUCUUGGCACCGCAUGGCCUCUGUAGCUCCAUACAUAUCCAUUUCUAUGAUUUUUUUUAACAUGUGCAAUUCUGACCUUUCUCUUCACAGUUUCUCAUGUGUUCCCUGGGUAAAGUUCUGCGCGCAUACUGACACAGCUACAGGGCCUCGCAUGACCUGGCAUCAGGGACGACCCCCACUGCUCACCUCUGCUAACAAUAUAGAAAUAGAUCUGAUUGUAAGGAUGCUAGGCUUUCACAUAACAUCCUCAUAGAGAUGCCUUGCUCAGGCUAUGGGUAGAGGACAUACCUCUGAGAAUAAUAUGGAACUGAGUUUCUUCUGGAAGGUGGGGACUUUCUGGACAUCUAUCACUAGGAAAGACGUGAGGGAAAGCACUCGGAGAGGAGGGACAAAAUGGCCUUUGGAACAUUGGAGGUCUUGAGCAGGAACCUCUUCUCUCCCAAACUAAAGAUGAGUGAGCCAGAUGAUACAAUUCCAGGUAAUUUCUCAUGUCAAGCUUUCGUCUGCUAUCUGAAAAUCCCCUCCAAACACUUAAAAAAAUAAAAACACAAAAGCCUGAGUUGACAUUUGGAAACGCCAUUCAAAUUAUGCAGCAACCAACCACUGCCAGACCAGCACAGAGGGGUCGGUAGAAUGACAGAUUCCAAAAGGGAAAGGAAAAUAUUGGGCAACAGGAACCUGAGCCACUAAAUCCCAGUCCCUUCUGUCCUAGCACUGACUCUCCUUCCACUGCCAACAGCAGAGGCCAUGGGUUAGCAGACGCACUUCCUUGUGCAAUCUGAAAUUCCCUUAACAGAUCCAGGAACUUUGCACAUGGUUCCUUGUGACUUGACUUCAUUUCUCAUCCCCUACUUUUUGUCCUUUUGACAAACUUACUCAUCCUUCAUAUUUCUGGUUCAGACAUCCUAUUCUCUUGGUAACCUAUCCUGACACUUAAAACUAACUCUGUCCUCCACCUCAUUCCCAAAUCAGUGCUCCUUUUGAACAGGGUCUGCCUUUAGUUCUAGUGCCUAGCAGUGCAGGAAAGAGUACAUACUCAGUGUUAUUGGAAUGAACAAAUAAGUUACUUUGUUUUUUCCCUUUUAAGGCAUUUUUCAACAGAUAAUUCAUAAAUACUGCAAAAAUUUCAAACUGCACUCAAAACAUCAGUGGAAAGUAGAUCUUUCCUCCAAUUCCAUACCCCCCCACCUUCCCGUGGUGCCAGUAGUAUCCUUUCCGAUUAAGUACAUAUGGGUAUUUUAAGUGCAGCUCUUAUUUUUCUACAAAACAGUAAAAAAAUUAUUUAUAUUGCUAUAAAAAAUGUUGCUUAUAAAUGUACAAUAUAUAUUCUGUCACUUAUACAUAUUAGACAACUGUAUAUUGAUAAUACUUAUAACAUAAAUAAUGCAUAAAACAUAAAUAUAUAAGUCCUAUGCCUUGUUCUGAAGUCAGGCUUUUUCUAAAAAAACUAAGACAGCGUAGUAUUCCACCACAGGGGCAUACCAUGGUUCACCGCACAUUCCCCGAUUUACGGUUUCAAAUUUACAAAUACUUCCAUUUUCACUGUCAAAGUCCUGUCCAGCAGCGCAGAAAUACUUUCGCCCUCCAACCCCGCCCCGAGCGGCCGGAUCCUUUCCUAACAUCUUUCACCAGCCCGGGGCAGGCCCUGCGCCUAACGCGACAGCCCGCUUCCCACCACGUGCCCUGCGUCCCCACCGCAGGGCGGAAGAACGCGGCACCGCGCGCGCCGCAGCGACGGAGCCGCACGUCCCCUCCCCUCCCCCAGCGUCUCCCAGCCGCCGCGGUCUCCCGUUCAAAAGUGCCGGAGAACGACAAACGCCCGGCCUCGCCCGGCUCGGGGCGGACGGGGCGGACGGGGCGGUCGGGCGCGGCAAGCGCGGCCC